This is a non-coding RNA of Coffea arabica (coffee), 267 nucleotides long. NCBI's taxonomy places the organism in Eukaryota, Viridiplantae, Streptophyta, Magnoliopsida, Gentianales, Rubiaceae. The record is from RefSeq and is a predicted model, not a curated record.
GGUUAGUGGCCCUGCAAGGAGAUCCUGGAGGUAAGGUGGACAGAGGAAGAGGAUAAAAUUUUACAAGAUGCAGUUCAAAGAUUUAAUGGUAAAUGCUGGAAAAAAAUAGCCAAGUGUCUUCCUGAUCGAACAGAUGUCCAGUGCUUGCAUCGCUGGCAGAAAGUUCUCAAUCCAGAACUAGUUAAAGGGCCUUGGACUAAGGAGGAAGAUGAUCUUAUUGUUGAGUUGGUAGGCAAACAAGGCAACAAAAAGUGGUCUGAAAUAGCU